Molecule: ribosomal RNA, 326 nt
Filed under: uncultured Chlorobiota bacterium
Lineage: Bacteria; Pseudomonadati; Chlorobiota
Description: bacterial SSU rRNA
Rfam family: Bacterial small subunit ribosomal RNA
Source: RNAcentral
GACGAACGCUGGCGGCGUGCUUAACACAUGCAAGUCUACGAGAAUAAGGUAGCAAUAUCUUUAGUAAAGUGGCGCACGGGUGAGUAACACGUAAGUAACCUACCUUUAGAUUUGGAAUAACCCCGAGAAAUCGGGGCUAAUACCGAAUGAUGCAGCGGCACCACAUGGUGAUGUUGUUAAAGUCUAUAUGACGUCUAAAGAUGGGCUUGCGUCUGAUUAGCUAGUUGGUGAGGUAACGGCCCACCAAGGCUAUAACGGGUACCGGACUGAGAGGUUGGCCCGGCGCAUUGGGACUGAGACACUGCCCAGACUCCUACGGGUGGCAG